Molecule: long non-coding RNA, 2069 nt
Filed under: Gallus gallus (chicken)
Lineage: Eukaryota; Metazoa; Chordata; Aves; Galliformes; Phasianidae
Description: lncRNA (ENSGALG00010006573.1)
Source: RNAcentral
UUUCCAUCACGUUUCAUUUAUUUGUUUUACUUUGAGCUCUUUUGUAACAAAAAAUAAAAAUGCAUUUUACCCCUCUGAGCACCAGACUUAAAUGGGACUGACAUCUCUACCCCCAUAGGAGUAGGAAACAUCAGCAAACUUGAGUCCAGCAACAACUUUUGUUGUGCAGACAGUAGGACUGCAGCCAGCAGAAGCACCUGACUGCGUGUGGCGGGGUGACGCAGCCCGGGCAUCGCUGCUCCGAGGUCCUCCAGCAGAUGGAGACAUGGGAAGAAAGGAGGGAGAAGGGAGGGAGAACAGGAGGAAAAGCUCCAAAACGCAGCCUGCCAGCAAGGGCCUGCUGUGCCCCAUCUGCACGGCCUGGCUCCAGGUGUGCUGAUCCAGUAGUGCUGCAGGGAGAGGUCUGAAGUGAUGUCAGCUGAAGGGACACAGGUCAGCCUCAGCCUCAGCAUCUCCCAGGCCAGGGCCGUGGCUAAGAAUGAUUUUAGGGCUGAGGAGCAGAGGACCACAUGGUAAAUAGGAAGAGGCAGUGAAUAGCUUCAUUGCUCCCCAGAGACAUCCAUUCCCCCUCUUGCAGACAGUUGCAAGGAAGCUGGAAAGCAGAGUAGCAGCACUACGAUGCUGUACACAGGCCUUUCCUUCCCUUGUCACUUCUCAGAGCAGCUGAGACCUCAUUUCCUACAAACCAAGACAAAGUCUGGAAAUGGGGUCUCAUCCUGGCUGCAGCACAGCAGGCAGGAGGUGGGGGGCUGGCAGCUCCAGCUCGCAGCUGCUUGGGCUGUUCUGCACCUGGGGCUGUCUGUGCCUUUGGGUUGCCUUUGCUGGAGGGGCCUCUCAGGCACCUUACAACCUCUGUGCUCUUUGAAAUGUGCAUGCCUGCUUUACAAGCAGCCCUUUAAGGUUUUCUGGCACCGGUACAGGGAUGCUCCAACUGACCUAAUUUCACUGAUCUUUCUUAUCUCUGACCUCUGUGGUUCAUUGACUACAGGGAUUGCUGGGUUUCUCAUUAGUGGUUAGAAAGUAUUUUUAUGCUCCUGUUCACUUGACACACAGCAAAAUCUUCCAGAAAGUAAUCUUGCUGUGCAGCUCAGGGCUGUGUUCCGCAGAGGAGCAGGCUUCUGCCACCAUCAGCCCUUCUCCAUCACAAGGGAACAGCCAAGGAUGAGCUUCAGGGCUGGGUGCUGAGUGCUGUGCCUCAGGGUGCCUCUCCCAGCGGGUCCCUCCGCAGAAAAGAUUCUCUCAAAGGGUUGAAGCCAGAAGGGUCCAAGUUCCCUUUCAGGCUGGUUUACUCGUGAUUUUCUGAAAAUUUUCAUAGAAUGGCUUGAGGUGAAAGGGACCACAGAGUCUGUCUCGUUCCAACCCCCCUGCUGUGAGCAGGGUUGUCAACUGCUAGAUCAGGCACCCCGCUCAGGCUGCCCAGGGCCCCAUCCAGCCUGGCCUCGAGUGCCUCCAGGGAUGGGCAUCCACAUCUUCUGUGGGCAGCAGUGCUGGGGCCUCGCUGCCCUCUCAGUGAAAACCUUCCACCUGAUAUCAUCCCUGUGUUGAGAUCUUUAAUAUAUAUAUAUUGUAUUUUAUUUAAACUGCUCAAGCUCCAUACCUCUUUAGCUGGGCCACUUCUCUCAGCAUGUGGACACUGACUGUUCUUUCUUCUCUGCUUGCAGGCUGUUGGAGCGGCCUCCCACAGGAUGGUGAUGGGGCUCGUCACAGUGCAUGGGAUAACUCAGGGAUGUCUUUCUGCCACCCCACCCUCCCUAUCUGUCCUGCGAGGCUUUCCAGCCUCCUUCACGUCAGUGCAAAUGAGGCUGUGCAGCUCUGCGCAGUCCCUACAGACUUGGAGGGGAGAGGGAGGAGCAGUGCCAGGACUGCUAUCGCUGCGAGGGAGUGAACGCCCAGCAUCAGCCAGAUAAGGACCCGGGCUGAGCUGGAGUGCCUGGCUACACCUCAGCCAGCCUCUAUGCAUACAGGAGAGUCUGUCCUCGCCAGCUGCUGCCCUUUGAACCUGGGGAUGACAGGAGCCAGCCCCAGCACCGAGCUGUGAACAGCCGUGCUCCAGUCACUGUGUCUGUCCC